This 406-nucleotide ribosomal RNA is filed under the name uncultured bacterium. RNAcentral describes it as "partial 16S ribosomal RNA". It matches the Rfam family "Bacterial small subunit ribosomal RNA", at positions 29 to 526 of the family's 1533-position model. The record is from RNAcentral.
AUUGAACGCUGGCGGCAGGCCUAACACAUGCAAGUCGAGCGCGCGGCGGACGGGUGAGUAAUGUCUGGGAAACUGCCUGAUGGAGGGGGAUAACUACUGGAAACGGUAGCUAAUACCGCAUACCCUCAGAUGUGCCCAGAUGGGAUUAGCUAGUAGGGGGGGUAAUGGCUCACCUAGGCGACGAUCCCUAGCGGGUCUGAGAGGAUGACCAGCCACAAUGGAACUGAGACAAGGUCCAGACGCCUACGGGAGGCAGCAGUGGGGAAGAUUGCACAAUGGGCGCAAGCCUGAGGCAGCCAUGCCGCGUGUAUGAAGAAGGCCUGCGGGUUGUAAAGCACUUUCAGCGGGGAGGCGUUACUCGCAGAAGAAGCACCGGCUAACUCCGUGCCAGCAGCCGCGGUAAUUC